Molecule: long non-coding RNA, 1900 nt
Filed under: Neodiprion lecontei (redheaded pine sawfly)
Lineage: Eukaryota; Metazoa; Arthropoda; Insecta; Hymenoptera; Diprionidae
Description: uncharacterized LOC124294733
Source: RNAcentral
AAACAAAGAUUACCCGUUAUUUUCUCCUUCGUUGUGUGUCGAGUGCGGCGAUUGCUGGAAAUGAGAUAAACUUUGUGUGAAAAUACUCACGACUUUGAUUGGGUAAAAUGAAUGCCCAAGAAACUUCUCGUCGCCUUAUAAGCCAUUAGUUGUAUGAAAACACUCAAGCCUGGUAGCGGUGUCGAUUCUCCUUAUAAAAUGUUUUUGUCUGUGACUGUGACUUGAAGAUCGCAUAAUAGAAAAACUACAACUGACGACCACUUUUUUUUUGUAAUAUGGAAUCUGAAUAUUUUGAAACAUCCUGGAAGUUAAAGAUCAAACAAGUACGCAGACACUUUCGCUACAUUAUAAGAAAAACCGUGCGUCGGUAUAAAAAGAAGAAGGAGUACACACGAUUCCUCACUGAAGAGGAACAAAGGUGCUAUCACUCUGAACGGGAAGAACCCAUAUCAUUGUCCAUAACGGACGUAACACCGGUCUGCUGUGUAGCCACAGUAGAACCACGUUUAACCAGGGAGCGGAUUAAGGAGGUUUGGGACGUACAGUCCGUUCACUGCAUUUUAUCUCUCAAUACAUAUACAUUAUAUAUAGCUAUACCACAUUACGUGAUUAGAGAAGGAUUAAUUUUGCUCGAGACUGUACUUUCACAAAACGUAACAAGCUUUAACUCGUGAUUUAAUUACAUUUAGCUUACCAAAAUAAUAUUUUAUGAAUUAACUGACUAUAUUAUUAUAAAAUAAUUGAUAAUUUAUUAUUAAUUUAAAUGAAAUAAUAAGUUUUUUAAUUUUAAAUGUUUUUUAAAAAGUUUGGCGACGCAGCAAAUUUUACCGCGGUUGCGCAUGCGUCGACUGUUCUAUUCGUGUUGGUGAUGUGUCUGUGUGUAUGGUAACAUGUAAUGCUAUUCAGACAGUGAUAUUUACACAAAUAAAAUUUUUAAGAAUAAAUAAAAAAUGAGUGACGGAGAAAAGCGUUAUUAUUGGAAAGGAAAGCGAGUGAACGAAAAAAUUUACAACCUACGUAUUUCUCAACGCAAGAACGGACAGAAAAGAAAGAAAACAUGCGAUCUAACCUCUCAGUUGUCUGGCAUUGUACCAGGAAGGAGAAUAAUAAAAGUUUGUCAUUUCCUAAAACAACUAAAAUGCGUACAUUGCAAGGCAUUGCUGGAUUUGGAAGAAAAUCUUAAAAGAGAAGAACGACGUGGCUUGGGUUCGACUUGGCAUGUAUUGUGUACAGCUUGCAAUAUUUUAAACAAAGUUACUACUGACAAGCAACAUCCAGAUGCAACGACUAAAAGGCAACGUUUCGAUAUAAAUUCCAAGAUUGCAAUAGGCGCACUUCACUCUGGGAUUGGAGCAACUCAUCUCAAUAAAAUGUUCGCCUCUGCUAAUAUACCUUCAAUUGAUUCCAAAACUUUCAAGACACAUGAAAAUGAAAUGGGAACAGCUGUUGAAGAAGUGGCUAAAGAAAGUUGUCAUAAAUGGGCUGAAGUUGAACGUAAAAUGACGGUUGAAAAUUCAGAUAAGAUUCAACAGUCAUUGUAAGCAUUGUCAGUUUAGAUAUUUUUAUGUUGUAAAAAAUUGGUACUCGAUUGUACAGUCAAUACUUAGAUGAUCGAGGAUUUUAAAGUAUUGUCAUGUUGCAAAAUUGUACAGUGAGAAUUAUUAGAUUUUAAAAUUGUAAAUAAGGAUUAUAAAUCGAAGUUAUGAAUUCAAAACCGUCAUAAUUUGUAAAUAUUAUACUCAAAAUUAAUGAACAGGAAGUAAAACAUUCUUUUUUACUUGGUGUUAAUGAAAUUAAUUUAAUUAAAUCGAUCAUUAAAAUAUUUUUAUAAUAAUUUUACACUUUUUACAUAAUUUUUUUGUAUUCUAAAUUUUUACAACGACUGAAUAAAAGAAUCAAU